RNAcentral lists this ribosomal RNA (253 nucleotides) under uncultured bacterium. Its description in RNAcentral is "partial 16S ribosomal RNA". It matches the Rfam family "Bacterial small subunit ribosomal RNA", at positions 524 to 776 of the family's 1533-position model. The record is from RNAcentral.
UACGUAGGGGGCUAGCGUUGUCCGGAAUCAUUGGGCGUAAAGAGCGUGUAGGCGGCUCGGUAAGUCCGCUGUGAAAGUCGGGGGCUCAACCCUCGAAUGCCGGUGGAUACUGUCGAGCUAGAGUGCGGAAGAGGCGAGUGGAAUUCCUGGUGUAGCGGUGAAAUGCGCAGAUAUCAGGAGGAACACCAGCAGCGAAGGCGGCGCUCUGGGCUGGAACUGACGCUGAGGAGCGAAAGCGUGGGUAGCAAACAGG